AUGAGUCUCCUAAGCUGGAACUGCCGGGGUCUGGGGCAACCCCGGACAGUUCAGGAGCUAGUGUGUUUAGUGCACACUUACAAGCCCAAGCUUGUGUUCCUCUCUGAGACGCGGCAAAGCAAUUCGUAUGUCAAUAAGUUAAGGUGGAGGCUUGGCCUCAAGCAUUGUAUCAUGCAGCCCGGCAUCGGCAAAGGUGUGGGUAUUGCGCUUUUCUAUGAUGAAAGUGUCGAAUGGUGAUGCACCUUUAUAUAUGGUGAACCGAAAGCAAGUGAUAGGCACCACAUGUGGGAAUUACUAAGAAGAACAAAAUGUAACUCAAGUGCCCCU
This 327-nucleotide ribosomal RNA is filed under the name Triticum aestivum (bread wheat). Its description in RNAcentral is "partial small subunit ribosomal RNA". Lineage: Eukaryota; Viridiplantae; Streptophyta; Magnoliopsida; Poales; Poaceae. The record is from RNAcentral.